Molecule: ribosomal RNA, 472 nt
Filed under: uncultured bacterium
Lineage: Bacteria
Description: bacterial SSU rRNA
Rfam family: Bacterial small subunit ribosomal RNA
Source: RNAcentral
ACUCCUACGGGAGGCAGCAGUGGGGAAUAUUGCACAAUGGGGGGAAAACCCCUGAUGCGAGCCAUGCCGCGGUGUGUGAAGAAGGCCUUCGGGUUGUAAAGCACUUUCAGUAGGGAGGAAGGUAGUGUAGUUAACACCUGCAUUAUUUGACGUUACCUACAGAAGAAGCACCGGCUAACUCCGUGCCAGCAGCCGCGGUAAUACGGAGGGUGCGAGGCGUUAAUCGGAAUUACUGGGCGUAAAGCGCAUGCAGGCGGCCUGUUAAGUCAGAUGUGAAAGCCCGGGGCUUAACCUCGGAAUUGCAUUUGAAACUGGCAGGCUAGAGUCUUGUAGAGGGGGUAGAAUUUCAGGUGUAGCGGUGAAAAUGCGUAGAGAUCUGAAGGAAUACCGGUGGCGAAGGCGGCCCCCUGGACAGAUACUGACACUCAGAUGCGAAAGCGUGGGGAGCAAACAGGAUUAGAUACCCUGGUAG